This 609-nucleotide ribosomal RNA is filed under the name Circinella muscae. RNAcentral describes it as "eukaryotic LSU rRNA". It matches the Rfam family "Eukaryotic large subunit ribosomal RNA", at positions 98 to 646 of the family's 3401-position model. The record is from RNAcentral. Lineage: Eukaryota; Fungi; Mucoromycota; Mucoromycetes; Mucorales; Lichtheimiaceae.
CAGGGAAAAGCUCACAGUUGGAACCUAGCUGCCUUAGGUAGUUCGGAUUGUAAACUGAAAAAAGUGUUAUCCAGGCUAGCCGAGUAAAUAAGUUUCUUGGAAUAGAACAUCAUGGAGGGUGAGAAUCCCGUCUUUGGCUUGAGCAUAGUCUUUUGUGUUGCACUUUAACGAGUCAGGUUGUUUGGGAAUGCAGCCUAAAGUGGGAGGUAAAUCCCUCCUAAAGCUAAAUAUUGGCGAGAGACCGAUAGCAAACAAGUACCGUGAGGGAAAGAUGAAAAGAACUUUGAAAAGAGAGUUAAACAGUAUGUGAAAUUGCUAAAAGGGAAGCGUUUGAAGACAGACUAGCUUGGUUAUAAUCAGCCUGGAUUUUUCUUGGUGUACUUGUAGCCUAUGCUUGCCAACAGCAGUUUGGUCUGGCUGAAAAAACUAGUAGUAAGGUGGCUCUCUUCGGGGAGUGUUAUAGACUAUUAGAAAAUCAGUUGGACUGGACUGAGGAAUGCAAUGCAGCUUGCCUUGGGGUGAACCAGAUUGGAUAGGAACCAUUGUUCCUUGAAGGUUUGGGUAGCUCUUCGAACUGUAUUUAGGUUGUUGGCUUAAUGUCUUUAAACG